ACCUGCAGAAGAAGCACAGCCUUUUACGGCUGCCUGUACGCCGGCUGCGUUCCCAUCACAGUGCGACCGCCUCACCCUCAGAACAUCUCCACCACCCUGCCCACUGUUAAGAUGAUUGUCGAGGUGAGUCACUCGGCGUGUGUGAUGACCACCGCCGUCAUCUGUACGCUGCUGCGCUCCAAAGAGGCCAUGGCCACGGUGGACAUCAGGAACUGGCCCCCAGUCCUGGCCACCGGGGUCUGCUGUUGUUGGCUCAGGCUGUGAAAUCCAGCUCGACUCUGACUCACAUCUACAUCUGGGGAAACCACCUGGAGGAGCCCGUAUGCCCAUAUCAGCAUCAGCACCCUGCAGACACACAGAAAGUUUGUGAUCCACUGACAGACGGAGGCUGGGACAGUGAGCUGAGUGAGUUUGGAGCGGAGGACUCCAGGACAUGUAACAGGGCAGUCGAGGGGUUGCAGUGUUGAAGUGCAGUGCUAUGUUGACAUCAUCAGCCACUGAGCUGUUUGACCAGUAGGUAAACUAAAGGAGUGGAGCAGGGGACAUGUGAUGUCUUGCAGGAUCGGCAGGAACGUUUGGCUUCCCUGGAAUGUGACAUCACCUGCAUCGCCUGCACCACCCGCAUCUGUGAGCUGCGUGCUCUGUCUGCAGGCAGUCGCUCACAUCUGUGAUAUGUGAAGCUGAAAAAAGAAGCAGGAAGUUGUUGAAUGAUAAGCUCUGCAGAUCUUUGUGUGUCUUGUGUCAUUCAUGUAAAACAGGAUAGACAAAAUAACAGAAACAGCUUGGUGUAAUUUUAACAUUUUAUACUUUCUUUCUACAGUUAUCUGACAGCUGUUGCCACUUUUCAGCUUGAUUUGACAAUCAAACACAUAAAGAACCCAGAAACACACAGAUAUGAGCUGAACUCUGUUCUUUUUUAUAAAUUCAACAUGCCGACAUGCUAUUUCAUUACAGCCCCAAGGCAGAAACCUUAUCAAUAUACAACUGCUCGACUGAUCUUUCACACAAAUAUCCAAUCAACAACAAGUCAAACCUGGAAGCAGACGGGCUACAGCAGAAGACCACACUGGGUGCCACUCCUGUCAGCUGAGAACAGGAGCUGAGGCUACAGUUCACACAGGCUCACAACAGAGGAUUGGAAAAGUCUCCUGGUCUGAUGAGUCUGAAUUUCUGUCUCAAGUCCAGAUUUUAAAUGGCCUGUAUUUGUAUAGCGCUUUACACAUCCAGUCAUCCACCCAUUCACACACACAUUCACAUACUGGUGAUGGCAGCUACAUUGUAGCCACAGCCACCCUGGGGCGCA
This is an RNA transcript of Oreochromis niloticus (Nile tilapia), 1303 nucleotides long. It is a transcript of the gene named disco-interacting protein 2 homolog C, with no coding region annotated. The record is from RefSeq and is a predicted model, not a curated record. Lineage: Eukaryota; Metazoa; Chordata; Actinopteri; Cichliformes; Cichlidae. The transcript has 5 exons.